UAGUAACGGCGAGUGAAGAGGGAAAAGCUCAAAUUUUGAAUCUGGUGUCUUUGACUCCCGAGUUGUAAUCUAGAGAAGUGUUUUCCGCGUUGGACCGUGUACAAGUUCCCUGGAACGGGGCGUCAUAGAGGGUGAGAAUCCCGUAUAUGCCACGGACUACCAAUGCUCUGUGAUACACUCUCAACGAGUCGAGUUGUUUGGGAAUGCAGCUCAAAAUGGGUGGUAAAUUCCAUCUAAAGCUAAAUAUUGGCGAGAGACCGAUAGCGAACAAGUACCGUGAGGGAAGGAUGAAAAGCACUUUGGAAAGAGAGUGAAACAGUACGUGAAAUUGUUGAAAGGGAAGCGUUUGAAGUCAGUCACGUCUGUCGGAAUUCAGCCUGGCUUCUGCCUGGUGUACUUUCCGUCCGACGGGUCAGCAUCAAUUUCGACCGAGGGAAAAAGACGUGAGGAAUGUGGCUGUCUUCGGGCAGUGUUAUAGCCUCGGGUUGUAUGUCUCGGUUGGGAUUGAGGAACGCAGCGCGCCUAUUGGCCGGGGGUUCGCGCCCCUCGGUACGCGCUUAGGA
Molecule: ribosomal RNA, 563 nt
Filed under: uncultured Sebacinales
Lineage: Eukaryota; Fungi; Basidiomycota; Agaricomycetes; Sebacinales
Description: eukaryotic LSU rRNA
Rfam family: Eukaryotic large subunit ribosomal RNA
Source: RNAcentral